AGGAGAAGGAGAAGAAGAUGAAGGCAAAGGAGAUGGAGAAAGAGACAGAGAAAAAUAAAGAGAAGAAAGUCGAAGUUGUCAGUUGUGAUGUGAAGCGACAAUACCAUUUGAAGGUUUUAACAUUGACGGUGAGGGUCCAACUGAACUAAUGUCAUCCUUCUCACAAUGGAUAAACGAGGGUCUUUACAAGCAUCAUGCAAAAAAAGGAAAAGGAGGAUCACUACUUAGCCAAUUGCUCAAAACUUGAUUUUGACCAACUUGAUUUUGUAGUUGCAUUUCCAAGGAAUAAGGACUGGUUCUACGUAAUGUCUCAACCCAAUAAGUGCUGGAAUGAUGAGAGAAUGUGGACUUUAUGUUGCUGCAUACACUGAGUUUUUGAGUGAUGGAUUAGAAGUACCAUCAUGUGAAAUUAGUGUUGACACACUUCGCUUGAGAUAUGCUUCACUCCUAUGGAAUUAUGGGAUUAUAAAUGCUCGAAAUGACUAUGUUAGUAACAAUGAAGACCCAAAGAUACCUAGACCUAAAAAAGCUAAGAUCGAUGAAAUGUUGUGUUUACAACCAUUGAUUAGAUAGGUGGUUAUGUAUAUCAUAUCAUUGUAUUUUACGUUUUUGUGGAUAAGUUGUAUAAAACAAUUGGUUAAUUGUUAAUA
Molecule: long non-coding RNA, 650 nt
Organism: Solanum pennellii
Lineage: Eukaryota; Viridiplantae; Streptophyta; Magnoliopsida; Solanales; Solanaceae
Exons: 3
Source: RefSeq, a predicted model, not a curated record